UACGUAGGUGGCAAGCGUUGUCCGGAUUUACUGGGCGUAAAGAGCGCGCAGGCGGUCGUUCAAGUCGAGUGUGAAAGCCCCCGGCUCAACUGGGGAGGGUCACUCGAUACUGAUCGACUCGAAGGCAGAAGAGGGAAGCGGAAUUCCCGGUGUAGUGGUGAAAUGCGCAGAUAUCAGGAGGAACACCGGUGGCGAAGGCGGUUCUCUGGGCCUUACCUGACGCUGAGGAGCGAAAGCGUGGGGAGCAAACAGG
This 253-nucleotide ribosomal RNA is filed under the name uncultured bacterium. RNAcentral describes it as "partial 16S ribosomal RNA". It matches the Rfam family "Bacterial small subunit ribosomal RNA", at positions 524 to 776 of the family's 1533-position model. The record is from RNAcentral.